This 1613-nucleotide long non-coding RNA is filed under the name Apteryx rowi (Okarito brown kiwi). RNAcentral's name for it is "lncRNA (ENSARWG00000002219.1)". The record is from RNAcentral. Lineage: Eukaryota; Metazoa; Chordata; Aves; Apterygiformes; Apterygidae.
CGGCUUGGGGGGGGGGUCGAGCCGCGGCCCCGCUCCGCGGAGCGUUGACGUUUUUUGGGGCCCGCAGGAGGGAACGGGGCGGCCGCGCCGGUCGCAGGGCGCCGCGGAGUCUCCGCGGCCGCUUGCCCCGGGCUGGGCCGCCCGCGAGCUUUCGGCGCUGCCUCCGUCGACGCCGCCGUUAAGGCCCCGGUCCCGCCGCGGCUCGGCGGCCGCUGAACUUCUCCUUGCGCUCCGGGAGCCGGACUGCCGACAGACGGAGAUAUUCGCGAGGACAGCGAGUUUGGAAUGCCGCGUAGAUAAAUUAGAAGUUUCGGAGAAUAUUGUGUGCCUCGCGGUGUGGAAGUAUUUUUACUUUCGCACAAACAAACAGCGGCCAGGCCUGCCUCACCACGGGAGCCAGUUUCUUAAAGCUGCGAGGUGCUGCGCGGGGCCAAGUUUCCCUGCUGCGAGCUGGGUUCUGACUUUCGGUGCAAUCGUCGUAUGGGAAGAUGGUGCCCCGCUCCGUCAGGGAGAUGAGGACCUGCGGCGCAGGCUUCUGGAAGGGCCUCGCGGUGCGGGCGCGCGUAAAGUGUUUGUCACGACAGAGAGGCAGAGGUUUGGUAACGGGCGGUGAGCAGAAGGAGAGCUGGUGGUGACUUAAGGGAGUAAACUGGUAGCCUCACAGAAGACACAAGUAUGAAGCCCUUCGCAUAUAUUUUUUCACAGUAUCAACUAGCAAGUGCUGCUUGACAGCAAUCUUUAAAUAAGAUAGAGUCACAGGGGGAUUUUGAUCGCAGAACAACAAUAGGUAUCCGCCUGGUGUCCUAGGCAUAUAAGUAAAUCCAUGAUGCUUUCACUGUUGCUGCCUAGACUUGGAGAAGCUUAAAGCUUUUACAGUCUAGAUCAUCACACACAUUUGGACACCGGCCCCGUUGGUUUCAAGUGUUAACUAAUAUUAGUGGAAAUGAAAUGCUUAAAUAUCUUUGAGGACUUUGGCCUAGAUGUUUAGGUUUCCACAAGCCUCUAGGCAACUAAAUCCAUGACUUGAACUCAGCUUUUUCUGCUGUGUCCUAGUGCGGUUCAGUCCCGCGGCUGCAGAUUCCGCACUGUUUGUAUGAAAGCAUCAGAGAAUCCUGGCGUUCCCAUAGCAUAAACAGUUCUCUCGCGCAAAGACCUAAAUGUUUAAGUUUGCAUUAGGAGAAACAUCACAUUAUUAUAUUCUGAAAAGGGUGACUGAAAUGCUCAGCAUACUUUCUCUGGCUAUCCAUUAUUUUGUUUACUUUGACUAUAUUCUUUCUUAUUUGUCUCUUAAGUAAACAGUUCUAAUCCACUACUGUACAUUCAAGCCACUUUUGUUAUUUAUUUCUGAACCUCCCUACUUUUUUAUGCAUCCUUUUGACAUCAGAUGACCAGAAGUAAACACAGAAUUCCUAGUGAGGGGAAACCACUGAUUUAUAUGGAUUAUUAUAAUCCAACCUCAUGCAAGCAAAAUCAAAAAAUAGUUUGACUACCUAAUGAUUCAGCAAUGCAGACUGUUGCCAAAAAUUUUAGCAUUUGUUAGCUUUACACUUGAGCAAAUGGAUUCUGAUGGAGAAUUUAACUUUCUGUUUUUUUAACUCUUAUCUUCAGAGUUU